CGCGACGACAAAUUGCGCCCCUCGUUAUUUGGGGUGGCUGCGCGUUUCUCUCCGGCAUCUGUGCAUUAGGCGAAGUCGGGUUACGGUGUAUACGUAAGCUCGAUGGAAGCACUUCUCGUCGCGUCUCGCGUCACUUCCUAUUGCUUUGACACAUCAACAUUAGCUUGGUUAACUACGACCAAGUUUGCGCACGAAUCGUACGAGAAUUUCCCAUCAGAAUUUGAUUUGUCUACCGUCAAUCUAUCUGUAAACGAGACACAGACGUCGACUGCAUAUUUCGAACAGCGUAUCAUUUUUGUCUUACGCAGUUUUGUUUAGAUAAAUGAUUUCACACACAUGGACAUGUUAUAGAAUUAAAAGUGGAAAAUGUGUUGUUAUUUUUAAACAGCACAUGAUAUUGGCAAGAUGCAGAUGAACGCACGCAAACGCAGAAUGCAUUCCGCACAAUACGCACCGAUGCACAUAACGCAAUGUACGACAAGGAUGCCGCAAUCGAAGAUGGAUACCACAUGGAAGUGAGGGAGAAGGAGGAGGAGGAGGAGGAGGAAGAGCGAAAAGCACACGUAUAACACACGCACGGAAGGGAGAGAGGACGGGAGCGCGGUGUUAGCUGAGAGAGAAUGCAAACGUGUUUGGGACAAUGUCGAAGGGCGCGUACAAUGUCGAAGGCGGGGUUGCCGGGGAUAGACGGUCUAUUCGCCAGGCGACGAUCCUACGCAUGUAUCUCGGGUCGUUGUCGAAAUGGAGGUAAUUAGUAACUGCAUGUGAGGAGCAAAAGGAGGUGUCCCCCAUUUUGUGCAAAUACGAUGUGUUAAACUGGGCGAGAUAAGUUGAGAAAUAUUUUAGUAAUGGUUAAACACACACGUGAAAUUUGUUAACUGUAGGUAAAAGUUAAUAUUUGAAUAAUUUUUAUCAAAAUUUAUCCCCGUUAUAAUUUCAUAAAAUUCUCUACUUAAAAUAGUUUCUUUACUUCGAUUAUAAAAUCACGAAAAAACGUAAUGUGAUUGUAAUCAUAAAAAUAUACGUUUUCUGUGAUGAUAUUACAUUUGGAGAGAAAGUCUUUCUUUCAAAAAAAAAAAAAAAAA
Long non-coding RNA from Wasmannia auropunctata (little fire ant), 1085 nucleotides. RefSeq lists it as uncharacterized. Lineage: Eukaryota; Metazoa; Arthropoda; Insecta; Hymenoptera; Formicidae. The record is from RefSeq and is a predicted model, not a curated record. The transcript is spliced from 2 exons.